UACGUAGGGUGCAAGCGUUGUCCGGAAUUAUUGGGCGUAAAGAGCUCGUAGGCGGUUUGUCGCGUCGACUGUGAAAACCCGAGGCUUAACCUCGGGCCUGCAGUCGAUACGGGCAGACUAGAGUUCGGUAGGGGAGACUGGAAUUCCUGGUGUAGCGGUGAAAUGCGCAGGUAUCAGGAGGAACACCGGUGGCGAAGGCGGGUCUCUGGGCCGAUACUGACGCUGAGGAGCGAAAGCGUGGGGAGCGAACAGG
This 253-nucleotide ribosomal RNA is filed under the name uncultured bacterium. RNAcentral describes it as "partial 16S ribosomal RNA". It matches the Rfam family "Bacterial small subunit ribosomal RNA", at positions 524 to 776 of the family's 1533-position model. The record is from RNAcentral.